GUACACUCUGCGGGAGGCAGCAGUGGGGAAUUUUGGACAAUGGGCGAAAGCCUGAUCCAGCAAUGCCGCGUGCAGGAUGAAGGCCUUCGGGUUGUAAACUGCUUUUGUACGGAACGAAAAAGCUCCUUCUAAUACAGGGGGCCCAUGACGGUACCGUAAGAAUAAGCACCGGCUAACUACGUGCCAGCAGCCGCGGUAAUACGUAGGGUGCGAGCGUUAAUCGGAAUUACUGGGCGUAAAGCGUGCGCAGGCGGUUAUGUAAGACAGAUGUGAAAUCCCCGGGCUCAACCUGGGAACUGCAUUUGUGACUGCAUGGCUAGAGUACGGUAGAGGGGGAUGGAAUUCCGCGUGUAGUAGUGAAAUGCGUAGAUAUGCGGAGGAACACCGAUGGCGAAGGCAAUCCCCUGGACCUGUACUGACGCUCAUGCACGAAAGCGUGGGGAGCAAACAGGAUUAGAUACCCCAGUAGUCCCAUG
RNAcentral lists this ribosomal RNA (476 nucleotides) under uncultured organism. RNAcentral's name for it is "partial 16S ribosomal RNA". It matches the Rfam family "Bacterial small subunit ribosomal RNA", at positions 331 to 799 of the family's 1533-position model. The record is from RNAcentral.